Molecule: small RNA, 28 nt
Filed under: Bombyx mori (domestic silkworm)
Lineage: Eukaryota; Metazoa; Arthropoda; Insecta; Lepidoptera; Bombycidae
Description: ovarian small RNA-13196
Source: RNAcentral
CAGCAUCUUCUCUAUCUUGGUCAUAAUC